Mauremys reevesii (Reeves's turtle) is the source of this 696-nucleotide long non-coding RNA. RefSeq lists it as uncharacterized. The record is from RefSeq and is a predicted model, not a curated record. NCBI's taxonomy places the organism in Eukaryota, Metazoa, Chordata, Testudines, Geoemydidae. The transcript is spliced from 4 exons.
GACCAUCAGGAUCGUUGCAAUUACUAACUCCUCUCCUCCGGCUGCGGCUCCUGCUGGGUGACAUGCAGUCCCUCAUUUCUCCUGUGACCAAGGCUAUUCUGGUAGCUUUGUUCAUCUUUGCCAUCCUCCUGAUCCUCUAUGUGAUUCUCUGGUACAUCUGCCGAGACGUGGAUUGCGAUCACGGAAUCUGAGCUGGGAUGCUGGGCAGCGGCUUAACAUAGCAAGUGACAGACACACAAGCCAAACCAAAAUCGAAGCCAGCCAAAAGAGCCCAGGGGAGAGAGCCACAGCCGAGGCACAACCUGAGAUUGACCUUCAGAGAUCAGGGUGACCCGUAUGAUAAAAUAAGUGGAUCGGCCAUGAAUAAUGCAGAUUUGUAAGCUGUGUUCAAGAACUUACAUGAAUUUACCACACUGUGAGGAAUCAAGUUUCUAUCUCCUUGGACUAUCCCCUUCCAGACACCAAGUUGAGACCAAAUUCAUUUAACUUGAUUCUGCCAGUGGGACUGAAUAUGGGAUCCAGAGAUCAAAGCUGUGCUAAAGGGACAUUAUAUCACAGAAACAUGGAAGGCCAAGAAAAUCUAUGGACAAAAAAUGCACUCUCAGAGUAAGAAAGGUUGGAUGUGGCACCUCAAAGUUAUCUUAUCACAUCUCCCUAUCUCUCCACAUGCAAGGAAGCAAUAACAACAAUGCUAAG